CCCGCUGAAUUUAAGCAUAUUAUUAAGCGGAGGAAAAGAAACUAACAAGGAUUCCCCUCUAGUAACGCGAGUGAACGGGGAAGAGCCCAACACCGAAUCCCUUGGCGCAAGUCAAGCGGAAAUGUGGUGUUAAAGGUAGCCCUUCGUGUCAGUCUAGGCGUCCUCAAGUCCACCUGAUUGUGGCUCAAGCCAGAAGAGGGUGUAAGGCCCGUAGAGACGCCUCCGACUGAUUCCUGGGGUUUACCCUACGAGUCGGCUUGUUUGGGAAUGCAAGGCCAAAGCGGGGUGUAAACUCCAUCCAAGGCUAAAUACUGGCACGAGUCCGAUAGCGGACAAGUACCGCCGUGAGGGAAAGUUGAAAAGAACUUUGAAGAGAGAGUUCAAUAGUACGUGAAACCUGCUUAGAGGCAAACGGAUGGUGGCUCAUACUGGCCUGAGGAAUUCAACUGUGACGGGGCUGGACGAGCUGGCGUUCCGAUCUCUUCUUUUGGGACGGGCGUCGGUUUGGCUAUCAGGACUCUGACAUGGUGCACUUUCCUUGGUGCCUCCGCCGACGACCGACGACACUGGCUACCCCGCGGCUCGGGGUAAGGUGACAAACCUGCUUCGGCAUUUGUGUUAUAGACCCCGGGGCGUCGGACAUGGUUUGGCCAGGACGUCGAAGCUUGCGGCGCCCGCUCGCUUGUGGCUCGCAUGUUGGCUACUUGGCUGCGCCGAUGCUUGCACUGGAGACAACCAGUACAGGUGACGGUUGUGGUCUUGUCUCUAGUUGGCCUCUGCGAGUUUGGCGCCUAUAGUCUGUGGUGUACUUGUGGGUAGACUCUAUCCGACCCGUCUUGAAACACGGACCAUUGAAGGAGUCUAACAUGUGGCGCGAGUCAUGGGGAUUCUACGAAAACCCAAAGGCGCAGUGAAAGUAAAGGCCUGCUUCUCGUAGGCUGAGGUGGGAUCUCGUGGCAUCGCAUCGCGAUUGGCGAGCGCACGCACCGGCACCGUCCUAUCUGUCUCUGUCAGUGGGGCGGCGCAAGAGCGUACACGUUUGGGACCCGAAAGAUGGUGAACUUAUGCUUGCGCAGCUCGAAGUCAGUGGAAACACCUGAUGGAGGAGCGCAGCGUUUCUGACGUGCAAAAAUCGAUCGUCCAAAACGUGAGUAUAGGGCGAAAGACUAAUAAGGGGGCGAGACGUCAUAAGUAGCAACCAUCCUUGAGCUGGAUUCCCUUCCGAAGUUUCCCUCAGGAUAGCUGGCACUGCGGGGAAAACAGUUUUAUCCGUAAAGCGAAUGAUUAGUAGGCAUUGGGGGUCGAAAACGACCUCGACCUAUUCUCAAAACUUUAAAUGGGUAAGGAUGCUCGUCUCGCUUAAUUGGAGGCGGGCUUCACGCUCUCUAACGUGAAUGUGAGUGCCCAGUGGGGCCAUUUUGUUGUAAGGCAAGAACUGGCGCUGUGGAUGAACCAAACGCGGCGUUGAAGGCGCCCAAUGCGGACGCUCAUGAGACACCACAAAAGGUGUUGGUCGAUACUGACAGCAGGGACGGUGGCCAUGGAAGUCGAACGGCCGCUAAGGAGUGUGUAACAACUCACCUGCGCGAAUCAACCAGCCCUGAAAAUGAUGGCGCUGGGAAGCGUCCGGCCUAUAGGAUCGGGUUGACCUGGUGUGACUCGAUGUGGGGAUAGGAUAGCAGACAAACUAAUCUUGUAGGUAUGUCCACUAACGAGUAGCGAGGGUAGCCGUGGUGUAGCGCAGAGUGAUGUCAGCCGCACGUAAUUGUGAGGCCAGUGACUGGAGCCGUCCAACGGGUAAAUAUUCCGCGGCGGCAGAUCUUGCGGUGGUCAGUACAAUACUCAGCAAGAUAGAAAGCGUUGAGGACUGUAAAGUGUUUGAGAGAGGGUUCAUGUGAAACAGCAUAGUU
This is a non-coding RNA of Macrostomum lignano, 1910 nucleotides long. NCBI's taxonomy places the organism in Eukaryota, Metazoa, Platyhelminthes, Macrostomidae. The record is from Rfam.